GGGUCAGUAGGUUGGUCGUGCCACCGGUACGUACUGGUCUCACUGAUUCCUCCUUCCUGAAGAACCGUAAUGCCAUUAAUUUGGUGUUGCGGGGAAACAGGACUGUUACUUUGAAAAAAUUAGAGUGAUUAAAGCAAGCUAACGCUUGAAUACAUUAGCAUGGAAUAAUGGAAUAGGACGAUCGAUCCUAUUUUGUUGGUUUCUAGGAUUGACGUA
Molecule: ribosomal RNA, 216 nt
Filed under: Glomeromycotina sp.
Lineage: Eukaryota; Fungi; Glomeromycota
Description: partial small subunit ribosomal RNA
Rfam family: Eukaryotic small subunit ribosomal RNA (bases 40-216)
Source: RNAcentral